GGCUCGGUAGCUUAGCUGGUUAAGCACUUGUUUAGCUAAUAAGGGUCGUGAGUUCAAAUCUCACCUGAGCUG
Non-coding RNA from Aedes albopictus (Asian tiger mosquito), 72 nucleotides. Lineage: Eukaryota; Metazoa; Arthropoda; Insecta; Diptera; Culicidae. The record is from Rfam.